UGAGGCUGUAGCUUUCUGAACCCUGGUAACAGCACACAUCAAAAUGUGGGAAACCAAACUUAAGACCGUGGCAGAUUUGUGUUAAGCAACACACUAUUGGAAUAUGUAUACAUGACCAAAAGAAGAUGAAUUAAAAGACAUACGUUGUCGCGGUCCAUCUACCGAAAGAAAGUUUCAGAUCGUGAAGAGAAGCCGGGUACGGAGAAAGUAUCUCGUUUUUAUAGCUACAGGAGACAACGACCGACGUCUGCUAACCAUCCGUUGCUGGGGUUAGGGAAACAUGAUUGCAUCGUACUAUUUCUGCAGCACAGGAAGGGUAGAAAUUGCAUAUUUUCCUCCUUACAGAGUGACAAAGAAUUAUUUGAAAACAUGCGAAUGAAAUUUAGGAGGUAUUCGAGUAGUUUUAAACUGCGAAAAUGUUCAUGCUGCAGAGAAGUAGGAACCCAUAUUACAGUUGUCGCUCGACUGUUGUGUAGAAAAGACUGUUAGUAGAAUGACUGAAUUCCCAGGUGCUUCAACGCUGUUUUGUAGCUUAAAUUCUGUUGAGGAUAAAAACUAACUUGGCACAUCGGAAAAAAAUGACAGCUCUGGACAAUUCGCCAUUUUAAUUUGAAUUUAUCCGGCACAGUGAAAUUUAGAAGACCCUAGUAGUUGAGAAGACACUUGAUUUAAUUAUAGAACCGCAUCGAUUGUGGCAGCUGACCCUCCUGGAAGAGCUAUACAAGAACAUUUCUAUAACAACUACUCUACUCCUUUAAAUUUGUAUAUUAUUAUUAAAUUAUUAUUUAUCGGUGUGGCUUUGUAUUAUUAAGCAAGAAACGCGUAAAGGCACUACUGCAUUUUCAAGUAAAACAUGACUGUCAGAUUAUUAUAAUUUCAUUUUAUA
Long non-coding RNA from Protopterus annectens (West African lungfish), 886 nucleotides. RefSeq lists it as uncharacterized. Lineage: Eukaryota; Metazoa; Chordata; Ceratodontiformes; Protopteridae. The record is from RefSeq and is a predicted model, not a curated record. The transcript has 2 exons.